Long non-coding RNA from Panonychus citri (citrus red mite), 856 nucleotides. RefSeq lists it as uncharacterized. Lineage: Eukaryota; Metazoa; Arthropoda; Arachnida; Trombidiformes; Tetranychidae. The record is from RefSeq and is a predicted model, not a curated record. The transcript has 3 exons.
UUCAUCGACAGCCAUUGACUUUAAUCGAGUUAUAAGUCUCUCAGGCCGAGGGGUAUUAAUAGUAGCAUCACUACAAUGGUUUAAAGAUGAUGUGAAAGUGAAAUUGUGAAAAUAUAUCGGGAGGGAUAAAUGAGAGAAGAGAAAAGAGAGAAAAGAAAAAGGUUUAUUAGAUCAUAUCCCUCUUAUUGUCAUGGUAACUCGUGGUAAUGGAUUCAUUUGAAUGGCACCCAAUUGAUUGGUUCAAAGUCAUCAUCGAUUGGAAGCGAUAAAGAUGAUGAGAUAUUUUUACAAAGACUCAAAGAUAAACUGAUUGCAGUUACUAAUUUACAACAAUCAUCUAAAUCAUCACCACAAAAUUUUCAACAACAAAGUGUUCCAAUUGAAAUGAUAAUGAUCUAACAGAGGAUCAAGGGCCAUCUCAGUAUCAAAAUCCUGUUGAUGCCAUAAGAGAGACAAUUAUAAAUACAAUUAUUCGUGAAGUUUCCAACAAUUUACCUGAAAUAAUGCGACAAACAACUGAGUUUUUCAGUCAAAUGAGAGCUGCAAUUGUACAAGCAUUUACUGAAUAUGCUGAACAAAAUCCAAAUUAUCUUAACGAGAGUUCUGUUAAUCGGACUUUGGGUGCACAGUUCAUUAAGAUAGUGGACAGUAUUGUCGAUGAUAAAGGUAACAGAUUCAAUGAGAGUCAAUCAUUGAAUUAUAUUCCUUAGCAAAUUUAUCAUCAUUUUGACUCUUCAAUACCAAAGGAAAAGACAAACAAAUAAUGAAAAUUUGUACCACAGUAUAAUCACAAAGAAAUCACUUCAUAAAUGUAGUACUACUAAUGAAUAUCACAAUAAAAUUGAUAAAACAGAGA